AGGAAUAUAGUUCAAUUGGAUAGAACAUUGGGUUACGAACCCAAAGAUGCGAGUUCGAGUCUUGCUAUUCUUACUA
This 76-nucleotide transfer RNA is filed under the name Aquimarina algiphila. RNAcentral's name for it is "tRNA-Arg". It matches the Rfam family "tRNA". Rfam says of the family: Transfer RNA (tRNA) molecules are approximately 80 nucleotides in length. Their secondary structure includes four short double-helical elements and three loops (D, anti-codon, and T loops). Lineage: Bacteria; Pseudomonadati; Bacteroidota; Flavobacteriia; Flavobacteriales; Flavobacteriaceae. The record is from RNAcentral.